UUAGCUCUUUCUUUAGGUCCAUACAUAAUUCUUGUUAUUUGAUCCUUUUCCUUAUAUUACACAGAUUGGUGGCGAGCUCAUGGACUUUAUAGUUGUGCUUCAUGGCUCUAAAGCUGUGAAGGCAUUUAGCAGCAACAUGCAUAUUUCACUUGGUGCAGGUUUGAGCUUUGCUGCAGGACCAGUUGGCAGAGUGUUUGAAGCAGAUCUUCGAGCUGGCGACAAAGGGUCUGGCAUGUGUUAUACAUACAGCUGCAGCAAAGGUGCUUUUGUUGGGGUAUCACUUGAGGGGAACUAUGUAGCAACCAGGACGGAUACAAACUUGUGCUUUUAUGGUGAUCCUUACUUGACCACCAGUGACAUUCUCUUUGGUACUGUCGGGAGACCACAAGCUGCUGAGCCAUUGUACUUGGCAUUGGACGAGCUAUACUCAAAGCUUACAAGUUAGUCUUCCUCGAGGGAUCCCUUGUACAUAUCCAGCUCUCUCCUGGCCGCCUGGUCAUCAUAUAAUCUUUGGUGGCUGCCUACCGAAAGCCAAAAGCCGUAAACAAAUGCUUGCUGUAAUAUCCGUGGCCUACAGAUUAGAAGUGUGCAAAUUGUACAGUCAGGUAGUGUACAUAUAGCAAAAAUAAUGACAAAUCAUUUAACUGAUUCAUGUGUUUCAGCUUUAGAUGAUGAAUGACCAAAAAGGUAAGAUGAAGAAAUUGGUGCUUACA
Molecule: long non-coding RNA, 713 nt
Organism: Musa acuminata AAA Group (dessert banana)
Lineage: Eukaryota; Viridiplantae; Streptophyta; Magnoliopsida; Zingiberales; Musaceae
Exons: 2
Source: RefSeq, a predicted model, not a curated record